This 409-nucleotide ribosomal RNA is filed under the name uncultured bacterium. RNAcentral's name for it is "bacterial SSU rRNA". It matches the Rfam family "Bacterial small subunit ribosomal RNA", at positions 355 to 776 of the family's 1533-position model. The record is from RNAcentral.
CAGGGAAUCUUGCGCAAUGGGCGAAAGCCUGACGCAGUGACGCCGCGUGAGGGAUGAAGGCCUUCGGGUUGUAAACCUCUUUCAGAAGGGACGAAGCGAAAGUGACGGUACCUUCAGAAGAAGCCCCGGCCAACUACGUGCCAGCAGCCGCGGUAAUACGUAGGGGGCGAGCGUUGUCCGGAUUUAUUGGGCGUAAAGCGCCCGCAGGCGGUUCGGUAAGUCGGAUGUGAAAACCCGGGGCUCAACUCCGGGACGCCAUUCGAUACUGUCGGACUAGAGGCAGGUAGAGGAGAGCGGAAUUCCUGGUGUAGCGGUGAAAUGCGUAGAUAUCAGGAGGAACACCGGUGGCGAAAGCGGCUCUCUGGGCCUGACCUGACGCUCAUGGGCGAAAGCGUGGGUAGCGAACAGG